Molecule: transfer RNA, 72 nt
Filed under: Camelus bactrianus (Bactrian camel)
Lineage: Eukaryota; Metazoa; Chordata; Mammalia; Artiodactyla; Camelidae
Also listed under: 1 other name
Rfam family: tRNA
About the family: Transfer RNA (tRNA) molecules are approximately 80 nucleotides in length. Their secondary structure includes four short double-helical elements and three loops (D, anti-codon, and T loops).
Source: Rfam by way of RNAcentral
GAGGGUAUAGCUCAGUGGUAGAGUGCAUGCCUAGCAUGCAUGAGGUCCUGGGUUCAAACCCCAGUACCUCCA